Molecule: ribosomal RNA, 254 nt
Filed under: uncultured bacterium
Lineage: Bacteria
Description: partial 16S ribosomal RNA
Rfam family: Bacterial small subunit ribosomal RNA
Source: RNAcentral
UACGUAGGGGGGCUAGCGUUGUCCGGAAUCAUUGGGCGUAAAGCGCGUGUAGGCGGUCCGGUAAGUCCGCUGUGAAAGUCCAGGGCUCAACCCUGGAAUGCCGGUGGAUACUGUCGGGCUAGAGUCCGGAAGGGGCGAGUGGAAUUCCUGGUGUAGCGGUGAAAUGCGCAGAUAUCAGGAGGAACACCAAUGGCGAAGGCAGCUCGCUGGGACGUGACUGACGCUGAGACGCGAAAGCGUGGGGAGCAAACAGG